RNAcentral lists this ribosomal RNA (482 nucleotides) under uncultured bacterium. Its description in RNAcentral is "SSU rRNA". It matches the Rfam family "Bacterial small subunit ribosomal RNA", at positions 26 to 521 of the family's 1533-position model. The record is from RNAcentral.
AGGACGAACGCUGGCGGCGUGCUUAACACAUGCAAGUCGAACGGAAAGGCCCGCUUGCGGGUACUCGAGUGGCGAACGGGUGAGUAACACGUGGGCAACCUGCCCUCAGCUCUGGGAUAACUCCGGGAAACCGGUGCUAAUACUGGAUAUCGACUUCUGCCUCGCAUGGGGUGUUGUUGAAAGUUUUUCGGCUGGGGAUGGGCCCGCGGCCUAUCAGCUUGUUGGUGGGGUGAUGGCCUACCAAGGCGACGACGGGUAGCCGGCCUGAGAGGGCGACCGGCCACACUGGGACUGAGACACGGCCCCAGACUCCUACGGGAGGCAGCAGUGGGGAAUAUUGCGCAAUGGGCGGAAGCCUGACGCAGCGACGCCGCGUGAGGGAUGACGGCCUUCGGGUUGUAAACCUCUUUCAGCUCUGACGAAGCGUGAGUGACGGUAGGAGCAGAAGAAGCACCGGCCAACUACGUGCCAGCAGCCGCGGU